Molecule: ribosomal RNA, 292 nt
Filed under: uncultured bacterium
Lineage: Bacteria
Description: partial 16S ribosomal RNA
Rfam family: Bacterial small subunit ribosomal RNA
Source: RNAcentral
GUGCCAGCCGCCGCGGUAAUACGAAGGGUGCUAGCGUUGUUCGGAAUUACUGGGCGUAAAGCGCGCGUAGGCGGCUAUCCAAGUCAGAGGUGAAAGCCCUGGGCUCAACCCAGGAAUUGCCUUUGAAACUGGAUGGCUUGAGUGUCGGAGGGGAUAGCGGAAUUGCUAAUGUAGAGGUGAAAUUCGUAGAUAUUAGCAGGAACACCGGUGGCGAAGGCGGCUAUCUGGACGACAACUGACGCUGAGGCGCGAAAGCGUGGGGAUCAAACAGGAUUAGAUACCCUAGUAGUCC